RNAcentral lists this long non-coding RNA (399 nucleotides) under Cicer arietinum (chickpea). Its description in RNAcentral is "long non-coding RNA (CARI_LNC001290)". Lineage: Eukaryota; Viridiplantae; Streptophyta; Magnoliopsida; Fabales; Fabaceae. The record is from RNAcentral.
GUCUUUUAAUCUUAUUUCCGUCUCACCCACCACAAGCCUCAUCAUCAGUCGACUCAACCAGAGUUUCAUUCGGUUGCUUCAUUUACUCUGAUCAACUAACUCUAGCGUAAUCACCACUUCAAUCACUCAACAAAAACUUCGUAUGCUAGUCCAUUUCACAGCCUCAAUGAACCCUAUCGCAAUCAUCACUCAACAUGAGCUUUAUUGGCAAGUCCCUUUCACAUCGUCAAUGAAUCCUAGUGCAAGCACCUCUUCAAUCACCUUCAUCCAUCGUCAACCGUCUCAAGUGCAUUCUAUUUUCCUUCUAUUUCUUUGUUUUGUUUGUGUGAUUUUUAUCAAUGGUGUGAGAAUUAAAUGUAGUUCAUUCUUAGGGGUUUCGUAGGAAGAUGUAUGCUAAGG